Lepisosteus oculatus (spotted gar) is the source of this 118-nucleotide ribosomal RNA. The record is from Ensembl. NCBI's taxonomy places the organism in Eukaryota, Metazoa, Chordata, Actinopteri, Semionotiformes, Lepisosteidae.
GCCACUAGCCAUAUCACCCUGCAACUCACAACUGGCAACCCACUGAAGCUAAGCAGGUGUGAGCCUGGUCAGUACCUGGAUGUAGACCUCCUGGGAAAAACUAAGGUUGCUGCUGGAA